UACGGAGGGUGCAAGCGUUAUCCGGAUUCACUGGGUUUAAAGGGAGCGUAGGUGGGUUGGUAAGUCAGCGGUGAAAUCCCCGAGCUUAACUUGGGAACUGCCAUUGAUACUAUCAAUCUUGAAUACUGUGGAGGUAAGCGGAAUAUGUCAUGUAGCGGUGAAAUGCUUAGAUAUGACAUAGAACACCGAUAGCGAAGGCAGCUUACUACGCAGUUAUUGACACUGAGGCUCGAAAGCGUGGGGAUCAAACAGG
This 253-nucleotide ribosomal RNA is filed under the name uncultured bacterium. RNAcentral describes it as "partial 16S ribosomal RNA". It matches the Rfam family "Bacterial small subunit ribosomal RNA", at positions 524 to 776 of the family's 1533-position model. The record is from RNAcentral.